UGCCCCCUCACAUUUUUUAAAAUUAUUUUUUUAAAAAUAAUAUUUUAUCAUUAUUUUAAAAACCUAACUAAUUUCAUUACAAAAAAAUAAUUUAUUUUCAAAUAUUUUCAAAUAUUUUAUUUUAAAAAAUUAUGAUUCGAUAAUAAUUCGAUAAUAUUUUAUUUUUGAAUAUUUUUUUUUCUUCCCUUCCUCCCACCCCCGACCGACCUCUC
RNAcentral lists this long non-coding RNA (212 nucleotides) under Elaeis guineensis (African oil palm). RNAcentral's name for it is "long non-coding RNA (EGUI_LNC034145)". Lineage: Eukaryota; Viridiplantae; Streptophyta; Magnoliopsida; Arecales; Arecaceae. The record is from RNAcentral.